UGCUUGUCUCAAGACUAAGCCAUGCAUGUCUAAGUAUAAACGAUCUUUAUACGUGAAACUGCGAAUGGCUCAUUAAAUCAGUUAUAGUUUAUUUGGUGGUUCCUUACUACAUGGAUAACUGUAGUAAUUCUAGAGCUAAUACAUGCAUAAAGUCCCGACUUCUGGAAGGGAUGUAUUUAUUAGAUCCAAAACCAAUGCGGUCUCCGGACCGGUACGUUGGUGAAUCAUGAUAACUGCUCGAAUCGCAUGGACAUGUUCCGGCGAUGAUCCAUUCAAAUUUCUGCCCUAUCAACUUUCGAUGGUAGGGUAGUGGCCUACCAUGGUUGCAACGGGUGACGGAGAAUUAGGGUUCGAUUCCGGAGAGGGAGCCUGAGAAACGGCUACCACAUCCAAGGAAGGCAGCAGGCGCGCAAAUUACCCAAUCCCGACUCGGGGAGGUAGUGACAAUAAAUAACAAUGCCGGGCUUUUAUAGUCUGGCAAUUGGAAUGAGUACAAUUUAAACCCCUUAACGAGGAACAAUUGGAGGGCAAGUCUGGUGCCAGCAGCCGCGGUAAUUCCAGCUCCAAUAGCGUAUAUUAAAGUUGUUGCAGUUAAAAAGCUCGUAGUUGGAUUUCGGAGCAGGUGGGCCGGUCCACCGCAAGGUGUGUACUGGGCGCCAGCUCUUCCUCUCGGAGGCCCCGUCUGCUCUUCACUGAGUGGUCAGGGAGUUCGGGACGUUUACUUUGAAAAAAUUAGAGUGUUCAAGGCAAGCCGUUGGCCUGAAUACGUUAGCAUGGAAUAAUGGAAUAGGACCUCGGUUCUAUUUUGUUGGUUUCUAGGACCGAAGUAAUGAUUAAGAGGGACAGUUGGGGGCAUUCGUAUUCAAUUGUCAGAGGUGAAAUUCUUGGAUUUAUGGAAGACGAACAACUGCGAAAGCAUUUGCCAAGGAUGUUUUCAUUAAUCAAGAACGAAAGUUGGGGGUUCGA
This 966-nucleotide ribosomal RNA is filed under the name Scopalina ruetzleri. RNAcentral's name for it is "SSU rRNA". It matches the Rfam family "Eukaryotic small subunit ribosomal RNA", at positions 29 to 1001 of the family's 1831-position model. The record is from RNAcentral. Lineage: Eukaryota; Metazoa; Porifera; Demospongiae; Bubarida; Dictyonellidae.